CGCAUAUUUUGCUCAGGCGGAGCUCGACCGCCCGUUUCGCAAAUGAUCGCCUUCAUCGAUGAGCAUCGUGAGGCCUAUGGGGUCGAGCCGAUCUGCAGGGUUCUGCCGAUCGCCCCA
Sphingomonas sp. 67-36 is the source of this 117-nucleotide non-coding RNA. NCBI's taxonomy places the organism in Bacteria, Pseudomonadati, Pseudomonadota, Alphaproteobacteria, Sphingomonadales, Sphingomonadaceae. The record is from Rfam.